CGCCAUUUUCACGUGAACAGCAUUGGCAUCGACAUCGCUGUGUAUGGCAACAGUUUUAAUCCCCAUCUUCUUGCAUGUUUUGAUGACUCGGCAUGCAAUCUCUCCUCUGUUGGCAAUAAGGAGCUUUUCAAAAGUCUUUUCGUUUGGAUCAUACACAGCAGAAUACAGCUUAUGUGAUGUUUUAAGGCACUGUCUUGAACAAAGCGUUUCACACUCUCGCAGCGCCCGGCGGCCGCCCCGUGCCCCACAGCGCAGCAGCAGCACCGCCGCCAUGACUGCCGCCCUCCCG
Molecule: long non-coding RNA, 289 nt
Filed under: Gallus gallus (chicken)
Lineage: Eukaryota; Metazoa; Chordata; Aves; Galliformes; Phasianidae
Source: RNAcentral